GUGAGGAAUAUUGGUCAAUGGGCGCAAGCCUGAACCAGCCAUGCCGCGUGCAGGAUGACGGUCCUAUGGAUUGUAAACUGCUUUUGUACGGGAAGAAACCCUCCUACGUGUAGGAGCUUGACGGUACCGUAAGAAUAAGGAUCGGCUAACUCCGUGCCAGCAGCCGCGGUAAUACGGAGGAUCCAAGCGUUAUCCGGAAUCAUUGGGUUUAAAGGGUCUGUAGGCGGUCUUGUAAGUCAGUGGUGAAAGCCCAUCGCUCAACGGUGGAACGGCCAUUGAUACUGCUGGACUUGAAUUAUUGGGAAGCAACUAGAAUAUGUAGUGUAGCGGUGAAAUGCUUAGAGAUUACAUGGAAUACCAAUUGCGAAGGCAGGUUGCUACCAAUGGAUUGACGCUGAUGGACGAAAGCGUGGGUAGCGAACAGGAUUAGAAACCCCAGUAGUCC
This 445-nucleotide ribosomal RNA is filed under the name uncultured bacterium. RNAcentral describes it as "bacterial SSU rRNA". It matches the Rfam family "Bacterial small subunit ribosomal RNA", at positions 354 to 796 of the family's 1533-position model. The record is from RNAcentral.